Long non-coding RNA from Onychostoma macrolepis, 1918 nucleotides. RefSeq lists it as uncharacterized. The record is from RefSeq and is a predicted model, not a curated record. The transcript has 4 exons. Lineage: Eukaryota; Metazoa; Chordata; Actinopteri; Cypriniformes; Cyprinidae.
AGCAGUGUCAGUGUGCCGCUGCUGCUCGGCUUCUGCAGUCUGCUGCGGUCGCUCCUCUAGUAAUGGCUUUUAUAUGUAUUAUCUGAGUGUUAAAUUCAUAUUUUGAGUGAGUUUGUGUUGUGGGAUGACGAUUGAGAACGAAUAAACGCGAAUAUGGACACUUCUACCAGCAGAUAACAGACAAGCAAACUGCAAAAGAGAGGACCUGAAAGCUUGAUCCUUGGAGACGAAUACUGUAUGUAAACCAGGAUUCUGGAUCAGCUGUGAAGAUUUUGUAUGGAGCUGAAGUUUUGGAAAUGAAAAUCUUCUACCAUAUGAUCUUCAGAGGAACUAAUCCAGCUGAUUACUGAAGAUUUGGAGGAGGACUGCUCUUUAUCUGCUGUGUCUGUCACUUCUGGCCAUGGACUAUUUGUUGUAUGUUUUGGUUUUACUUAUUACACUAAUAUAGCUAUUAGUUUUUAACUAUAUGUAGAAUUAAAAUACAUAUGUUUUUCUACAUAUAUUACCAGAGCUACUGUGGUGCCCAAAAUUAUUAGAACACUAUUUAUUUUAUACCAGUUAAAAAAUGGUUUUAAGUCAGUUAUUUCUAUCUUUAUAGUGUCAGUAGGAAAUAUCAGUUUACAUUUCCAAGCAUUAAUUUUACCCUUAAUUGUAAUUUUUUGAGAUUUUUGUUUGCACAAGAAGUCUGACAACAGCCAGUACUUCACAGAGAUCUGAUCUCAUCGUCUAAAUCCAGAAGAACUGUGGCAGCGUCUCCAAGAUGCUUCAAGAAACCUACCUGCAAAGCUAAAAGUUUUAGGCACUUGUGUAAAAAUUCUGUUAAAUGAGGAUGUUGUCAAAAAUAAUGCCAUAAAUAAAUUUUCUUUAUCAAUUAACUUUUAUAACUAAAUUAAAUCAACAUUUAGUGUAACCAUCCUUUGCGUUUAAAGCAGCUUUUGCUCUAGGUGUACGUGUGGUUAGUUUUUCAGGUAACUUUUCAGGUAGGUUUCUUGAAGCGUCUUGGAGACGUUGCCACAGUUCUUCUGGAUUUAGUCUGUCUCAGUUUGUUCGGUUUCUUCAUGUCAUUCCAGACAGACUGAUGAUGAUCAGAUCAGAUCUCUGUGUAAACUGAUAUUUCCUACUGAAACACUACAGCAAAAGAUAGAAAUAACUGACUUAAAACCAUUUUUUAGCUGCUGAAAAUACAAGUGUUCUAAUCAUUUUGGACACCACUGUACAUGGAGCCCACAGCAGUCAGUAGAAUAUUGUGGAUUAAUAUAAGACUUAUGUUAUGUACUCAUGACCUCAUCAUGAGAGUAACCCUAACUGAUAAGAUAGAAAUGCAAUUUUUAGCUAUUCAAUUCCUCCUGGGGGCUCUGAAGAAGUGUUUAUGAAGAAUUCAUUGAUAAUGUUAUUUUACAUUUGAAUAAUAAAAUUGCUUGACAAUCUUGUACAUAUAUUUUAGUAUUUUUGUUCAGUUUAAAAGGACUAGUUCAAUUCCAGAAUGAAGAUUUGCUGAUAAUUUAUUCACCCCCAUGUCAUCCAAGAUGUUCAUGUCUUUCUUUUUUCUGUUGAAAAGAAAUUAAGGUUUUUGAGGAAAACAUUCCAGUUGACUCCCACUGAAGUCCACUAUAUGGAGAAAAAUUAUUUAAUUUCUCAAAAACUUUAAUUUCUUUUUGACUGAGUAAAGAAAGACAUGAACAUCUUGGAUUACAUGGGGGUGAGUAAAUUAUCAGAAAAUAUUUAUUCUGGAAGUGAACUUGUCCUUUUAAGCUGAAUAUAUUUAAUUCAACAUUUUUAUGAAAGUGUUCUAUGUUCUUCACCAGUACAGUAUUUUUAAAUGUAAUUGUGCUGUAUUUCUUUUAAAUUUUAAUUUCUUAUGGCAUCUGUACAGACUUUGUAUUUUGUCUUCUAAAUAAAACUGAAUUUUCCAUCUUGA